GUAAGGGAUAUUGCGACAAUGGGCGGAAGCCUGACGCAGCAACGCCGCGUGCGGGAUGACGGCCUUCGGGUUGUAAACCGCUUUUCGAGGUGAAGAGGCAGGACGGUAGCCUCGGAAGAAGUCUCGGCUAACUACGUGCCAGCAGCCGCGGUAAAACGUAGGAGGCGAGCGUUAUCCGGAUUUACUGGGUGUAAAGCGCGUGCAGGCGGCUUGGUAAGUGGUGUGUGAAAGCGCCCGGCUUAACCGGGCGAGGUCGCACUAGACUGCGAAGCUAGAGGCAGGUAGAGGCGUGUGGAAUUCCGGGUGUAGUGGUGAAAUGCGUAGAGAUCCGGAGGAACACCAGUGGCGAAGGCGGCACGCUGGGCCACGCCUGACGCUCAGACGCGAAAGCAUGGGGAGCGAACGGGAUUAGAAACCCUAGUAGUCC
This 427-nucleotide ribosomal RNA is filed under the name uncultured bacterium. RNAcentral describes it as "bacterial SSU rRNA". It matches the Rfam family "Bacterial small subunit ribosomal RNA", at positions 354 to 796 of the family's 1533-position model. The record is from RNAcentral.